RNAcentral lists this ribosomal RNA (344 nucleotides) under Cyanobacteria bacterium MAG IRC4_bin_6. Its description in RNAcentral is "partial 23S ribosomal RNA". It matches the Rfam family "Bacterial large subunit ribosomal RNA", at positions 2582 to 2925 of the family's 2925-position model. Lineage: Bacteria; Bacillati; Cyanobacteriota. The record is from RNAcentral.
CGCCCAUUAAAGCGGUACGCGAGCUGGGUUCAGAACGUCGUGAGACAGUUCGGUCCAUAUCCGGUGUACGCGCAAGAACAUUGAGAGGAUUCUUCUCUAGUACGAGAGGACCGAGAAGAACGUACCUCUGGUGUACCAGUUAUCGUGCCAACGGUAAGCGCUGGGUAGCCAUGUACGGAGUGGAUAACCGCUGAAAGCAUCUAAGUGGGAAGCCCACCUCAAGAUGAGUGUUCUCAUGGCACAAGCCAGUAAGGUCACGGGAAGAACACCCGUCAAUAGGCUCUAUGUGGAAGCCUAGCAAUAGGUGAAGCAAAGGGGUACUAAUAGACCGAGGGCUUGACUAA